Molecule: ribosomal RNA, 253 nt
Filed under: uncultured bacterium
Lineage: Bacteria
Description: partial 16S ribosomal RNA
Rfam family: Bacterial small subunit ribosomal RNA
Source: RNAcentral
UACAGAGGGGGCAAGCGUUGUUCGGAAUUACUGGGCGUAAAGGGCGCGUAGGCGGCCUUCUAAGCCGAACGUGAAAUCCCCGGGCUCAACCCGGGAACUGCGUCCGAGACUGGAAGGCUUGAAUCCGGGAGAGGGAUGUGGAAUUCCAGGUGUAGCGGUGAAAUGCGUAGAUAUCUGGAGGAACAUCGGUGGCGAAGGCGGCAUCCUGGACCGGUAUUGACGCUGAGGCGCGAAAGCCAGGGGAGCAAACGGG